AGGACGAACGCUGGCGGCGUGCCUAACACAUGCAAGUCGAACGCGCUCCAUUCGGUAGCAAUACUGAUGAAGAGUGAGUGGCGAACGGGUGAGUAACACAUGAGCAACCUGCCCCGAAGACUGGGACAACACCGGGAAACCGGUGCUAAUACCGGAUAUCCCUAUCGGACCGCAUGAUCUGAUAAGGAAAUGGAUUCCGCUUCGGGAGGGGCUCGUGGCCUAUCAGCUAGUUGGUGAGGUAACGGCUCACCAAGGCAUCGACGGGUAGCUGGUCUGAGAGGACGAUCAGCCACACUGGGACUGAGACACGGGCCCAGACUCCUACGGGAGGCAGCAGUGGGGAAUCUUGCGCAAUGGGCGAAAGCCUGACGCAGCAACGCCGCGUGGAGGACGAAGGCUUUCUGAGUUGUAAACUCCUUUCAGCAGGGACGAUAGUGACGGUACCUGCAGAAGAGCACCGGCCAACUACGCGCCAGCAG
This 479-nucleotide ribosomal RNA is filed under the name uncultured bacterium. RNAcentral describes it as "SSU rRNA". It matches the Rfam family "Bacterial small subunit ribosomal RNA", at positions 26 to 514 of the family's 1533-position model. The record is from RNAcentral.